AAAUUGAAGAGUUUGAUCAUGGCUCAGAUUGAACGCUGGCGGCAGGCCUAACACAUGCAAGUCGAACGGUAACAGGAAACAGCUUGCUGUUUCGCUGACGAGUGGCGGACGGGUGAGUAAUGUCUGGGAAACUGCCUGAUGGAGGGGGAUAACUACUGGAAACGGUAGCUAAUACCGCAUAACGUCGAAAGAGCAAAGAGGGGGACCUUCGGGCCUCUUGCCAUCGGAUGUGCCCAGAUGGGAUUAGCUUGUUGGUGGGGUAA
This 263-nucleotide ribosomal RNA is filed under the name Escherichia coli. Its description in RNAcentral is "partial 16S ribosomal RNA". It matches the Rfam family "Bacterial small subunit ribosomal RNA", at positions 1 to 260 of the family's 1533-position model. The record is from RNAcentral. Lineage: Bacteria; Pseudomonadati; Pseudomonadota; Gammaproteobacteria; Enterobacterales; Enterobacteriaceae.